RNAcentral lists this long non-coding RNA (456 nucleotides) under Bos taurus (domestic cattle). Its description in RNAcentral is "long non-coding RNA NONBTAT026942". Lineage: Eukaryota; Metazoa; Chordata; Mammalia; Artiodactyla; Bovidae. The record is from RNAcentral.
GUUUAGCCAAAACAUAAUUGUGACUUGAUUUCAUUUUUAGAUGCUAUUUCAGAAAACCUAUAUAAUUUUUCAAAGUUAUAUGUUGCCAUCUGUUCCUGUCAUUAAUAAUCUUAAGAGCUUUUCCAUGUAUAUAAAGACAUAAGGGGAAAAAAACUAGCCUAUUUACCAAAAUCUUUAUUUGCAUAAUAUGAAAAUUGUUUUUUUGAGAUGAGACUUGUCAAAGGCAAUAUGCAAAGCACAUUAAGGGCCUGAGCGAGUCAGACAUUUAUGGAAAUAUUUUCCUGCAGGAAUUGGCUUUCUGUAACAGUUCUUAAUCAAGGGUAACCCUAGGAGGGAGACAGAGUCAAGUGCUGAUUCCUGUCCAUGUACUUAAAUCAUUUGUUAUGUACAUUAUCCACAGUUCCGAGCAGAUAUUAUUCAGACGACUCCUACAUUUUGAAGACUCUGAUAGCCUCC